UACGUAGGUGGCAAGCGUUGUCCGGAAUUAUUGGGCGUAAAGGGCGUGUAGGUGGAUUUUUAAGUCGUGUGUCUAAGUGCGGUGCUUAACGCCGUAUAGGCGCAGGAAACUGGGAAUCUUGAGUGCAGGAGAGGAAAGUGGAAUUCCCGGAGUAGCGGUGAAAUGCGUAGAUAUCGGGAGGAACACCAGUGGCGAAGGCGACUUUCUGGACUGUGUCUGACACUGAGGCGCGAAAAGCUAGGGGAGCGAACGGG
RNAcentral lists this ribosomal RNA (254 nucleotides) under uncultured bacterium. RNAcentral describes it as "partial 16S ribosomal RNA". It matches the Rfam family "Bacterial small subunit ribosomal RNA", at positions 524 to 776 of the family's 1533-position model. The record is from RNAcentral.